This 253-nucleotide ribosomal RNA is filed under the name uncultured bacterium. Its description in RNAcentral is "partial 16S ribosomal RNA". It matches the Rfam family "Bacterial small subunit ribosomal RNA", at positions 524 to 776 of the family's 1533-position model. The record is from RNAcentral.
UACAGAGGUGGCAAGCGUUGUUCGGAAUUACUGGGCGUAAAGGGCGCGUAGGCGGUCUUGCAAGUCCUGUGUGAAAUCCCUCGGCUCAACUGAGGAACUGCACAGGAAACUGCUUGGCUUGAGUUCGGGAGAGGGAAGCGGAAUUCCGGGUGUAGCGGUGAAAUGCGUAGAUAUCGAGAGGAACACCUGCGGCGAAGGCGGGUUGCUGGGCCGACACUGACGCUGAUGCGCGAAAGCCAGGGGAGCGAACGGG